Molecule: ribosomal RNA, 230 nt
Filed under: uncultured bacterium
Lineage: Bacteria
Description: partial 16S ribosomal RNA
Rfam family: Bacterial small subunit ribosomal RNA
Source: RNAcentral
AAGCGUGCGCAGGCGGUUUUGUAAGACUGUCGUGAAAUCCCCGGGCUCAACCUGGGAAUGGCGAUGGUGACUGCAAGGCUAGAGUUUGGCAGGAGGGGGGUAGAAUUCCACGUGUAGCAGUGAAAUGCGUAGAUAUGUGGAGGAACACCGAUGGCGAAGGCAGCCCCCUGGGUCAAAACUGACGCUCAUGCACGAAAGCGUGGGGAGCAAACAGGAUUAGAUACCCCAGU